Molecule: unclassified non-coding RNA, 666 nt
Filed under: Hevea brasiliensis (rubber tree)
Lineage: Eukaryota; Viridiplantae; Streptophyta; Magnoliopsida; Malpighiales; Euphorbiaceae
Source: RNAcentral
CCAACUUUUCCAUGCCAUAGGGAACCACAUAGUUACCAUCCAUUCCAGUUUUAGGACCAAUUUGUGUGUUCCGAUCUCCUUCUCCGCUUGUAAAUACUCCCGCAUUCCCAUCUAAAGGAUCCCAUUUGCAUGGAGAGAAUGUGCAGUCCUUCACAUAUAAUGUUGUGUAGUGGUUGAUUCCUAUGAAAUCCAAUUUGUUCUGCAACUUUAUUUUUUCUUUAGGGGUAAAUAUUGGUAACCUCGAAGCUAGGACUUGACGCAUCACGGCCGGAUAAUCGCCAAAAAAUAGAGGAUCUAGAAACCAUUCAUUUUCGAAAGAUAAAACCCGUUUUGCUGCCAAAACAUCUUCUUCCACAUUCCUCAUUGGCUCGUACCAUUUGCAAGAAACCACAAUCCCGAUAGAACCUCCCUGUCUCUCCUGAUAAUUUCUUUUAUAAAUAUCAACAGCGGUUGCAUGUGCUAGAAUUAUAUUGUGAGCAGCAACAUAUGGUUCGGUUAAAGAAGAAUCUCCGACGGAGCAAUUUCCAUUUGGGACAGAGCAACGGCCUGGAGGAUGUUCUCCGGUGACAUAACCAUACAUUGUCAUGAUGUUUGGCUCAUUAAACGUGCACCAAUAUUUUACUCUGUCACCAAAAGCUUGGAAACAUACUUCUGCAAAGUAUGCAA